UACGUAGGGGGCUAGCGUUGUCCGGAAUCAUUGGGCGUAAAGCGUGCGCAGGCGGUUUUGUAAGCCAGAUGUGAAAGCCCCGGGCUUAACCUGGGAAUGGCAUUUGGGACUGCAAGGCUUGAGUGCGGCAGAGGAGACUGGAAUUCCUGGUGUAGCAGUGAAAUGCGUAGAUAUCAGGAGGAAUACCGAUGGCGAAGGCAGGUCUCUGGGCUGACACUGACGCUCAUGCACGAAAGCGUGGGGAGCAAACAGG
This 253-nucleotide ribosomal RNA is filed under the name uncultured bacterium. RNAcentral describes it as "partial 16S ribosomal RNA". It matches the Rfam family "Bacterial small subunit ribosomal RNA", at positions 524 to 776 of the family's 1533-position model. The record is from RNAcentral.